CCUGAGCUCAUUUUGUAGCCCAGGCUGGUCUCAAACUCACAGGAUCCUCCUGCCUCAGCCUCCUGAGUGCUGGGAU
RNAcentral lists this microRNA precursor (76 nucleotides) under Cavia aperea (Brazilian guinea pig). RNAcentral describes it as "miRNA (ENSCAPG00000003559.1)". Lineage: Eukaryota; Metazoa; Chordata; Mammalia; Rodentia; Caviidae. The record is from RNAcentral.